AAAUUGAAGAGUUUGAUCAUGGCUCAGAUUGAACGCUGGCGGCAGGCCUAACACAUGCAAGUCGAGCGGUAGCACAGAGAGCUUGCUCUCGGGUGACGAGCGGCGGACGGGUGAGUAAUGUCUGGGAAACUGCCUGAUGGAGGGGGAUAACUACUGGAAACGGUAGCUAAUACCGCAUAACGUCGCAAGACCAAAGUGGGGGACCUUCGGGCCUCAUGCCAUCAGAUGUGCCCAGAUGGGAUUAGCUAGUAGGUGGGGUAAUGGCUCACCUAGGCGACGAUCCCUAGCUGGUCUGAGAGGAUGACCAGCCACACUGGAACUGAGACACGGUCCAGACUCCUACGGGAGGCAGCAGUGGGGAAUAUUGCACAAUGGGCGCAAGCCUGAUGCAGCCAUGCCGCGUGUAUGAAGAAGGCCUUCGGGUUGUAAAGUACUUUCAGCGAGGAGGAAGGCGUUAAGGUUAAUAACCUUGGCGAUUGACGUUACUCGCAGAAGAAGCACCGGCUAACUCCGUGCCAGCAGCCGCGGUAAUACGGAGGGUGCAAGCGUUAAUCGGAAUUACUGGGCGUAAAGCGCACGCAGGCGGUCUGUCAAGUCGGAUGUGAAAUCCCCGGGCUCAACCUGGGAACUGCAUUCGAAACUGGCAGGCUAGAGUCUUGUAGAGGGGGGUAGAAUUCCAGGUGUAGCGGUGAAAUGCGUAGAGAUCUGGAGGAAUACCGGUGGCGAAGGCGGCCCCCUGGACAAAGACUGACGCUCAGGUGCGAAAGCGUGGGGAGCAAACAGGAUUAGAUACCCUGGUAGUCCACGCCGUAAACGAUGUCGACUUGGAGGUUGUGCCCUUGAGGCGUGGCUUCCGGAGCUAACGCGUUAAGUCGACCGCCUGGGGAGUACGGCCGCAAGGUUAAAACUCAAAUGAAUUGACGGGGGCCCGCACAAGCGGUGGAGCAUGUGGUUUAAUUCGAUGCAACGCGAAGAACCUUACCUACUCUUGACAUCCAGAGAACUUAGCAGAGAUGCUUUGGUGCCUUCGGGAACUCUGAGACAGGUGCUGCAUGGCUGUCGUCAGCUCGUGUUGUGAAAUGUUGGGUUAAGUCCCGCAACGAGCGCAACCCUUAUCCUUUGUUGCCAGCGGUCCGGCCGGGAACUCAAAGGAGACUGCCAGUGAUAAACUGGAGGAAGGUGGGGAUGACGUCAAGUCAUCAUGGCCCUUACGAGUAGGGCUACACACGUGCUACAAUGGCAUAUACAAAGAGAAGCGACCUCGCGAGAGCAAGCGGACCUCAUAAAGUAUGUCGUAGUCCGGAUUGGAGUCUGCAACUCGACUCCAUGAAGUCGGAAUCGCUAGUAAUCGUAGAUCAGAAUGCUACGGUGAAUACGUUCCCGGGCCUUGUACACACCGCCCGUCACACCAUGGGAGUGGGUUGCAAAAGAAGUAGGUAGCUUAACCUUCGGGAGGGCGCUUACCACUUUGUGAUUCAUGACUGGGGUGAAGUCGUAACAAGGUAACCGUAGGGGAACCUGCGGUUGGAUCACCUCCUUACCUUAAAGAA
This 1550-nucleotide ribosomal RNA is filed under the name Klebsiella aerogenes. RNAcentral's name for it is "bacterial SSU rRNA". It matches the Rfam family "Bacterial small subunit ribosomal RNA". Lineage: Bacteria; Pseudomonadati; Pseudomonadota; Gammaproteobacteria; Enterobacterales; Enterobacteriaceae. RNAcentral also lists the same sequence under 1 other name. The record is from RNAcentral.